Molecule: ribosomal RNA, 392 nt
Filed under: uncultured bacterium
Lineage: Bacteria
Description: partial 16S ribosomal RNA
Rfam family: Bacterial small subunit ribosomal RNA
Source: RNAcentral
AUACGGAGGAUCCGAGCGUUAUCCGGAUUUAUUGGGUUUAAAGGGUGCGCAGGCGGCCAUUUAAGUCAGCGGUUAAAUCGUGGGGCUCAACCCCAUUCUGCCGUUGAUACUGGGUGGCUUGAUUGCGGUCGAGGUUGGCGGAAUUCGUUGUGAAGCGGUGAAAUGCAUAGAUAUGACGAAGAACACCGAUUGCGUAGGCAGCUGACCAGAUCGCAAAUGACGCUCAUGCACGAAAGUGCGGGGAUCGAACAGGAUUAGAUACCCUGGUAGUCCGCACAGUAAACGAUGAAUACUUGUUUUCGGCGAUAUAAUGUCGGAGGCAAAGCGAAAGCGAUAAGUAUUCCACCUGGGGAGUACGCCGGCAACGGUGAAACUUAAAGGAAUUGACGGGG